RNAcentral lists this small nucleolar RNA (84 nucleotides) under Plasmodium reichenowi. RNAcentral describes it as "small nucleolar RNA snoR06". The record is from RNAcentral. Lineage: Eukaryota; Apicomplexa; Aconoidasida; Haemosporida; Plasmodiidae.
UUUUAAUGAUGAUUUAAUAUAAAAAAAAGCACAUUUGUUAGAACAGAAUAAAAAGUGUGUUGAAUUUUGUUACUUUCUGAAACU